AUCUGAAGAUUUCAAAGACCUGCGUACACAUUAAUUAUUCUCAUAGCCCUACGUGGAGGAGGGGAAUCCACAGAAGCGUCAUUUGGGCAUCUUCCUCCGAUUGUUGUUGCUUCACAUUGUUUGAAACAAGAUAUCUCUCAGCAUCUGCAACACGCCUCUUCGCCUGAAGUUACACACAGGUGACGGUGGAGCAAGAGGGGAGAUUAGUGAACCCAGCUGUUCUACCCAUUGAGAACAUUCCUAAGAUGAAAGGCCAAAUCGAAGGAUGACAACAGCCUCCAUAGGCAAGUGGACAGAAUUGCUCUUUCAGCAGUGGAGAGGGAGAAGAGAUUCUGAUUUUCCAGUCUAGCUAAUAUGGAGAAACAAAUCCCUUAUACGUCUGACAACAGUGUCUUAAGGCUUUUUUACCCAGGACAAGGUAUAAUCAGCUAUGCUGGAAUCUUCGGAGCCCCAUAUUCCCCUGGAGGCCACGGCAUUCAUGUUCCUCCGGAGAUAAAAACCGCUGGCCUUUCAAACGUGAGUAACACCGUCUGGGACUAAGAUUGGAGCCUCACC
Molecule: long non-coding RNA, 555 nt
Filed under: Equus caballus (horse)
Lineage: Eukaryota; Metazoa; Chordata; Mammalia; Perissodactyla; Equidae
Description: lncRNA (ENSECAG00000056615.1)
Source: RNAcentral